Molecule: long non-coding RNA, 758 nt
Organism: Numida meleagris (helmeted guineafowl)
Lineage: Eukaryota; Metazoa; Chordata; Aves; Galliformes; Numididae
Exons: 4
Source: RefSeq, a predicted model, not a curated record
AACUACCUUUUUUGGUGUGGCCCUCUGAGGGGGAGGGGAGGAGGUGCACUCCCCAGGGGUCUUUGCGUUGGAGGGGAGGGGGUGAAGACGCGUGGGGGACGCGGGGUCCGUUCCUUCCUGCCCGGCGGAGAAAGCACGUGGUCCUUCUGCAGUUUACUGUAGGAAUUCUAAGAGAAGAACAGUGCCUCUCUAGUGCUUUGGUCACAGCAGCAGUCCGCUAUAUACCUCAUGAAGUUGCUCAGGUCAUCUGUGAGAUCCCUGGAUGAGGAGUUCUAAAUCAGCAGUACUUACUGCUGCUGUGAGGAUAAUGUAACAACUGAAGCCUCAGCAGCUGUUGACACCUGCAUAACUCCAUUUCAGUAAGGAGCUGAUUAUCUGCUUGGUUCAUUACUUCCUUUCUACGCAGCUCUGGGAUGAUUUCCUACUAGAGGUUCUGACUUUCUUUCUGGAUCAAGGAGGUAUCUGUUAAACUGAGAUCUGCUGGAAUUUGUUGAGCUAGAGAUGUUAAUCAAUGUCUGAUUAGCUAUGCAUGCAAACACAGACAGCCCCGCAGCUGCUGGCAGUGGACUUUUAACUCAGCCGAGCACCACUGGUGAGUUUUAAAUCCUGUCAGCAGCACUCUGAAGAAUCUGUCUGAGAUACAGCCAAAAUGCAGGCAGCUCAUUGGGAAUGCUACCAAGUGGAACUUGACUCUCUACUUUCAAUACAGAAUGUUUUCUUCAAUUAAAGGAAAAAAAAAAUAGUGAUCUGGGAUUUGA